CUUAGGUCCUAAUUACCGAUCCCACCUUCGACGGCUCCCUCCACAAGGGUUAGGCCACCGGCUUCAGGUGUUACCGACUUUCAUGACUUGACGGGCGGUGUGUACAAGACCCGGGAACGUAUUCACCGCAGCGUUGCUGAUCUGCGAUUACUAGCGACUCCGACUUCAUGAGGUCGAGUUGCAGACCUCAAUCCGAACUGGGACCGGCUUUUUGGGAUUCGCUCCACCUCGCGGUAUUGCAGCCCUUUGUACCGGCCAUUGUAGCAUGCGUGAAGCCCAAGACAUAAGGGGCAUGAUGAUUUGACGUCAUCCCCACCUUCCUCCGAGUUGACCCCGGCAGUAUCCCAUGAGUUCCCACCAUUACGUGCUGGCAACAUAGAACGAGGGUUGCGCUCGUUGCGGGACUUAACCCAACAUCUCACGACACGAGCUGACGACAACCAUGCACCACCUGUUUACGAGUGUCCAAAGAGUUGACCAUUUCUGGCCCGUUCUCGUAUAUGUCAAGCCUUGGUAAGGUUCUUCGCGUUGCAUCGAAUUAAUCCGCAUGCUCCGCCGCUUGUGCGGGUCCCCGUCAAUUCCUUUGAGUUUUAGCCUUGCGGCCGUACUCCCCAGGCGGGGAACUUAAUGCGUUAGCUGCGUCACGGAAUCCGUGGAAUGGACCCCACAACUAGUUCCCAACGUUUACGGGGUGGACUACCAGGGUAUCUAAGCCUGUUUGCUCCCCACCCUUUCGCUCCUCAGCGUCAGUUACGGCCCAGAGAUCUGCCUUCGCCAUCGGUGUUCCUCCUGAUAUCUGCGCAUUCCACCGCUACACCAGGAAUUCCAAUCUCCCCUACCGCACUCUAGUCUGCCCGUACCCACUGCAGGCCGGAGGUUGAGCCUCCGGAUUUCACAGCAGACGCGACAAACCGCCUACGAGCUCUUUACGCCCAAUAAUUCCGGAUAACGCUUGCGCCCUACGUAUUACCGCGGCUGCUGGCACGUAGUUAGCCGGCGCUUUUUCUGCAGGUACCGUCACUUUCGCUUCUUCCCUGCUAAAGAGGUUUACAACCCGAAGCGU
RNAcentral lists this ribosomal RNA (1063 nucleotides) under Microbacterium sp. 0909CI27Y_5. RNAcentral describes it as "partial 16S ribosomal RNA". Lineage: Bacteria; Bacillati; Actinomycetota; Actinomycetes; Micrococcales; Microbacteriaceae. The record is from RNAcentral.